Molecule: long non-coding RNA, 2028 nt
Filed under: Lingula anatina
Lineage: Eukaryota; Metazoa; Brachiopoda; Lingulata; Lingulida; Lingulidae
Description: uncharacterized LOC106154508
Source: RNAcentral
UUCAACUGAAGUCACACUUAAUAUUUCUCAGGUAGCUUCCGCAUGGCGAACGUUUUUAGUCAGAACCACAUUGGACAUGCUUAUCUGAUGCGGGCUACAAGAAUUAAUAAAAUUAAUAGAGGGUCUACAUUGGCCCAUAGACUAUUGAGCUAUCAUCUUCCAUUAAAUAUUGUAUGCAACGAGAGAGAGAGAGAGAGAGAGAGAGAGAGGGGGCGGGGGUCCCCAAUACCUGGGUCGAAGAGUCUUUGGACCGUUCUUAAAAAUAAUUUCAAAUUUGAUGUUAAGUAGGUGUUAAGUAGGUGCAUUACACAUUAACUUCUUUAAUUUCAGGAUACGUGUUCCUUGGGAAACUGCAACUCUGCCACAGAGAUAUUAUGCCUCUACUGCUCAUUCAGCCUAAACCCAAAGCUUUGCGACAUUUGUUUACAAAAUCUGCACAAGAAAUUGGUCCAAAUUAAUUCCAUACCUUUAGAGGCAUUCUAUGACAUCGCUCCGACAACAUCGAUCAACUUGGAAUUGGUAAAUGCAAAAUUCCAGUGCCGGUGUGUUGUGCCCUCCUGUUAAAGAUUUGCUUGAAUAAUGUGCACUGAAUGCGUAACACGUUGCAUUCUACUGCUGUGCAACACAUGUAACAAGCAAGUGCACAUAGGUGACAGGGCUGGUCACCACAGGGUUGACCUCUCUCACCUGAUGGGCAAUCAGACAGCAGUGUCAGACGAGCUGCAUCAAGAAAAAGACAAAAAUAUAAAAGAUUAUUGUGGAAUAUGCUAUUCCAAAGCAGUUAACUUAUGUUUGGAUUGUGAGCAUAAACUGUGCUCAAAAUUUUGUGUAGAACACUAUACAAAAACACAUUCACAAUCAACAUGCCACCAGAAGGUAAACAUUUCAGAAGGAACAAUAGAACCCAAAAAAUACACCUGCCAGUGUAGGUUAAUUGACUAUUGUAAAGCCAAUGCAGCUGCCGUUUGCCAGGAUUGUUAUCCUUCAUUUGCUUUGCUGUAUUGUGAAACGUGUGAUGAUUUAAUACACAGCUUGGUUAAAUCAUCUACACACAGAACCAUCCCACUGCAACAAGGGACAUUUGACUCUGACCAAGGUGACGAUGAUAUUAUACUUCCUAUUGACGAAGACGACCACGAUGCAUCAAGCAGCGAGGAAGCGCAAUUAACGAAGCACGCUGUUGACGACACGGACAGAGAAACAGAAGAAGAAGAGGGGGAGCUACGUGGUCACGUGGUCCGAUGACGACAAUCGUGCAACCGGCGGAGCUGUCAAACUCAGCUGCAAUUUCUACCUCUUGUGCCGUACAGGGGACUUUCCUAGUUCGGCGUGUGACUGCAUAGAUAUAACCAGGACUGGAGGGAAAUGAAAUGAGAACACCAACCAGAUGGGUCAGACUGACCACCAAGAGACCACCACCAGACGGUCAGGAAUCAUCGCAUACAGAGAUGUGGGCACGGAUAUGACCAGGACUGGAGGUCCCACAAGACUGAGAAGACUGAUAGCUACCAUGGCUGUCGACACGCAGACAGAUGACUUUUCAGAGAAUUCUGGACAGAGGGGUCAGGUUGACCAACCAAUCCACGCAAGACGUUGUAACAGAGGCGGGACGCCCUGUGGUGACCCUGGUCCCAUGUGACCCCACUGACCAGUGUGACCCUAGACUGGACACGGGUGACAAUACCAGAAAGAUAAAUACAGCACCUGCUGUCUGUAAAUUGCCAUAGCGAACAACACGAUUAUAUAGAAACAGCUUCUAAACAGUGCUUCAAAUUAUGACACAAAGUUGAUGUUAUACAUUUUUUCUUAAACAUUCUGUACUGUCUAAGGUAUUCUGGUUUAUAGCUGUUAUUGUAAAGUGAUUCAUGAAUCAUUGUGUCUCACGUACACCGAACCAGCAAUAAAUUGGCGGUUAUACUGCGGACCUCUGCUGCUUGAUGUUUUGACAGUGCGUGAUUCUUUCGUCAAAUUUCUCUAGGAAAAUUUGCUAAGGCUGCGCAUUUAGAUAAAUAGUAUUUCAAAGGGACG